GCCAGACUCCUACGGGAGGCAGCAGUGGGGGAUAUUGCACAAUGGGGGGAACCCUGAUGCAGCGACGCCGCGUGGGUGAAGAAGUAUUUCGGUAUGUAAAGCCCUAUCGGCAGGGAAGAAAUUGGACGGUACCUGACUAAGAAGCCCUGGCUAACUACGUGCCAGCAGCCGCGGUAAUACGUAGGGGGCAAGCGUUAUCCGGAUUCACUGGGUGUAAAGGGAGCGUAGACGGCCAUGCAAGCCUGGAGUGAAAGCCCGGGGCCCAACCCCGGGACUGCUCUGGGAACUGUGCGGCUGGAGUGCGGGAGGGGCAGGCGGAAUUCCUGGUGUAGCGGUGAAAUGCGUAGAUAUCAGGAGGAACACCGGCGGCGAAGGCGGCCUGCUGGACCGCGACUGACGUUGAGGCUCGAAAGCGUGGGGAGCAAACAGGAUUAGAUACCCGAGUAA
Molecule: ribosomal RNA, 447 nt
Filed under: uncultured bacterium
Lineage: Bacteria
Description: bacterial SSU rRNA
Rfam family: Bacterial small subunit ribosomal RNA
Source: RNAcentral